Long non-coding RNA from Spea bombifrons (plains spadefoot toad), 605 nucleotides. RefSeq lists it as uncharacterized. The transcript has 2 exons. The record is from RefSeq and is a predicted model, not a curated record. Lineage: Eukaryota; Metazoa; Chordata; Amphibia; Anura; Pelobatidae.
AGUAAAUUGAAGUACAAAUGCAGUAAAACUGCAGUACAUUGAAGUACAACUUUAGGUUUGCAGUAUAAUGAAGUAUAAACAGUAUAUAUAUUACUUUAAUGCCUCCAACCCCCCCUAAAUAUGUUAAAUAUGGGGGGCAUAGGUCUGUGGGCGGGUCAUAGUCCCCAAUUGGUGUGUCCCCCUUGUUACGGAGACCCCCUCAAUGUUUAAGAAAUAUUGUUUUUUACAUUUUAUAUACUGCGGGUUGAUGAUUUAAGAAUGGGGACACCCCGGAGUGAUGACCCUAUUCUUUCAGUAGCCCUGAGCAGGGUAAUUUCACUUAAAUCACCCUCGACACCCCCGUGAGGGUGAUUUAGGGAAGGGAAUACCCCCAGAUUCCAUGGGGACUGGGGGACAUCCCCAUUACUGCUCAAUCUGCUCAAUCUGCUCAAUUAUAAGACAACCCUGAUUAUAAGACGACCCCCCAAAAUCUGAAUAUUAAUUUAUGAAAAAAAGAAAAAGCCUGAAUAUAAGACGAUCCUAUAGGAAAAAGUUCUAUCAGUAAGUGUUAAUUCAUGUAAACUAUGUGAACUAUUUUUUUUAAUAAAAGCUAUGAUUGAGAAAAA